Oncorhynchus nerka (sockeye salmon) is the source of this 182-nucleotide small nuclear RNA. RefSeq annotates it as U2 spliceosomal RNA. The transcript has a single exon. The record is from RefSeq and is a predicted model, not a curated record. Lineage: Eukaryota; Metazoa; Chordata; Actinopteri; Salmoniformes; Salmonidae.
AUUAUUUUUCACAAAAAAAAAAAAAAAAAAAAUCUGUUCUUAUCAGUUUAAUAUCUGAUACGUCCCCUAUCUGGGGACCAUAUAUUAAAUUGAUUUUUGGAAUAGGGAGAUGGAAUAGGGGCUUGCUCCGUCCACUCCACGCAUCGACCUGGUAUUGCAGUACCUCGUCGCAUGCACAGGAU